RNAcentral lists this long non-coding RNA (2311 nucleotides) under Marmota monax (woodchuck). The record is from RNAcentral. Lineage: Eukaryota; Metazoa; Chordata; Mammalia; Rodentia; Sciuridae.
GGAACAGGCAGGGUUGCUGCUGCAUGUUGCCAACCUGGCCACCAUCCUUUGCUUCCCAGCAGCAGUGGCCUUACUGGUUGAGUCCAUCACUCCAGGUGUGCCCCCACCCAUCCGUCCCAGCCCACACUGGGCUCAGCCUGUAUGGCAUGGAUCCCCCAUGGUGCAUGGGGGCCAUGGUUGAGCCUGCCUCUCCCACAGUGGGCUCUGUACUGGCUCUGGCAGCAUACACCAUACUCUUCCUCAAGCUCUUCUCCUAUCGGGACGUCAACCUGUGGUGCCGCCAGCAUAGAGCCAGGGCUAAGACUGGUGAGGCUGGUGAAUGAGAACUUGUCUGUGGGUGGGCCUGGGUGGCAUGGGUCCACCCUGGUGUCCCAUCUGUUUUGCUUGCAGUCUCUGCAGGGAAGAAGGCCAGUGGGGCCACUGCCCAGCGCACGGUGAGCUACCCGGACAACCUGACCUACCGCGGUGAGGACCUGUGGGGCCAGGUCCCAGGGGUGGGGGUCAGGGGCAGGGUCAAGUCUGUACUGGUUCCAGCUCCUCUCUUCCCUUCCAGAUCUCUACUACUUUAUUUUUGCUCCCACCCUGUGUUAUGAACUCAAUUUCCCUCGCUCCCCCCGAAUUCGAAAACGCUUUCUGUUGCGGAGGCUCCUUGAGAUGGUGAGGUUUAGGGCUGAGGGAGCCACUGGGGGUGGGAGGGAUUUGUGGCUGGUGGUGCUAGGUUCUCAGCUGGCUGCUCUUUGGCUCUUCCCCCCAGCUGUUCUUUACCCAGCUCCAGGUGGGGCUGAUCCAGCAGGUAAGUGGGUGAGAAGGUGGGUGGCAGGGGCCAGAUGCAGCCGGAUACUGAUCUGGUGCCCUCCUUUGCAGUGGAUGGUCCCCACCAUCCAGAAUUCCAUGAAGCCCUUCAAGGUGAGCAGCUGGGCUCUCCUGUGGCUGGGGUAGGUUGGGUGGGGGCCACAGCCGCUGAGGCAGCCUGUCUCUUCAGGAUAUGGACUACUCUCGAAUCAUUGAGCGCCUCCUGAAGCUCGCUGUGAGUACUAGCAGUGGGCAGGGUGGGGGAGCACAAGUGGCAGGUGGGCAUCUGGAACCUGGAGCCCCCUCCCUUACAGGUCCCAAAUCACCUCAUCUGGCUCAUCUUCUUCUACUGGCUCUUCCACUCCUGCUUGAAUGCUGUGGCGGAACUCAUGCAGUUUGGAGACCGGGAGUUCUACCGGGAUUGGUGGUGGGUGGCCUUGAGGGUGGCCCUGGGGACUGGGGUGGGCUGCAGCAUGCCUUGCUCACCCCAUUGUCUCUCAACAGGAACUCUGAGUCUGUCACCUACUUCUGGCAGAACUGGAACAUCCCCGUGCACAAGUGGUGCAGCAGGUGCGUGAGUGCUGUGUGUGCAUGUGUAGGAUGUAGGUGUGCACCUGGGCCUCUCCCUGUCCUAGGGCAUCAUCCUGUAGCCUCCUUCCCUUGCAGGCACUUCUACAAGCCCAUGCUACGCCGGGGUAGCAGUAGGUGGGUGGCCAGGACAGGGGUGUUCCUGGCCUCCGCCUUCUUCCACGAGGUCAGUGCUGUGAGGGCAUCCUGCCUCACCUCUGGGCAGGGGUGUAGCCACUGAGACAUUGAUGGCCUAUUCUCUCCUCACCCUAGUACCUCGUAAGCAUCCCCCUGCGAAUGUUCCGCCUCUGGGCGUUCACAGCCAUGAUGGCUCAGGUGAGCAACACCCCAAAUGCCUCACCCACCUGAACCCUGUGCCAAGCCCCAUUCCCUGUGGUUACUGCCUGCUGACCUUGGUCCUAUGUGUCCUCAGAUCCCAUUGGCCUGGAUUGUGGGCCGCUUCUUCCAGGGCAACUAUGGAAAUGCAGCUGUGUGGCUGACACUCAUCAUUGGGCAACCAGUGGCGGUGCUCAUGUAUGUCCAUGACUACUACGUGCUCAACUAUGAGGCUCCCACAGCAGGGGCCUGAACUGCCCAGGCUUGACUGCCCACAUCCAGGACAGACAGCCCUCCCUGCCUGUCCAAACCUGAGGGAACCUGGCUGCUGAGCCUUCCUCCUGCCCCAGGAGGCCUCUCUGCCCCUAUGGGGCUCCCUCCUGCUCCCCUUAGGGAUGGCAACAGUAGAGUCUGGCCCAGCUGGCAGGAGCCAGUGCCUUCUUUGGGAGUCUGUGCUGACUUGGGAAAGAGGGUGCCAAUAAAGUGCUGUCUAGAGUGACUCUCCCCUCAGCCUCCUGGGGGCUACUGGGAGGGAUGGUCCAGCACCAAUUCUGUGGGGGCAGGUACUCCAGGGGUUCAAGGCCCUUUUGGGCCUUAGGCAACCAGAUGAGGCUCU